CCUACGGGAGGCAGCAGUGGGGAAUCUUGGACAAUGGGGGGAACUCUGAUCCAGCGACGCCGCGUGAGUGAAGAAGUAUUUCGGUAUGUAAAGCUCUAUCAGCAGGGAAGAAAGAAAUGACGGUACCUGACUAAGAAGCCCCGGCUAACUACGUGCCAGCCGCCGCGGUAAUACGUAGGGGGCAAGCGUUAUCCGGAUUUACUGGGUGUAAAGGGAGCGUAGACGGCGAUGCAAGUCUGAAGUGAAAGGCGGGGGCCCAACCCCCGGACUGCUUUGGAAACUGUAUGGCUGGAGUGCAGGAGAGGUAAGUGGAAUUCCUAGUGUAGCGGUGAAAUGCGUAGAUAUUAGGAGGAACACCAGUGGCGAAGGCGGCUUACUGGACUGUAACUGACGUUGAGGCUCGAAAGCGUGGGGAGCAAACAGGAUUAGAUACCCUUGUAGUC
Molecule: ribosomal RNA, 443 nt
Filed under: uncultured bacterium
Lineage: Bacteria
Description: partial 16S ribosomal RNA
Rfam family: Bacterial small subunit ribosomal RNA
Source: RNAcentral